RNAcentral lists this ribosomal RNA (3235 nucleotides) under Triticum aestivum (bread wheat). Its description in RNAcentral is "partial small subunit ribosomal RNA". Lineage: Eukaryota; Viridiplantae; Streptophyta; Magnoliopsida; Poales; Poaceae. The record is from RNAcentral.
CUUAUUUGUUAAAUGUGGUAGCUUGCUGUAAGAGCCCUAGCAUGUACCUCUAUCUCUAAUUUACUUUUUGUCCCCUCCUGCUGCUUGUCAUCAUCGAUCUUAAUAACUAAGAGGGGCCGAAAUAAAACAUGAACCUGGUCGUCCUCUUCCUGCUAAUGGAUCCUUAAUGUUGCUACAAUUCUGAACUUAUUUGUUCAAUCGUACUAGUACUGAUGAAUACCGAGUUGAUUGAAAAAGAUAUGUGUCGAAAAGUUCACUUCAUCUGCAUACAUAAGUUCAAAAAAUUGUCGUAGAGCUAGUUCAAAAGAUUGUCAAAAGGUAGAAUGGUUGUGCUAUUUCAAUUUUUUCAGUCCAUCUUCUGUGUGCUAUUCAGUACAUCUAAUUCCAAAUUCUAAGUACAAUUGCCUUUAUGUUUUCCAUCUUCAUAUAGCACAAAACAGGCACUGGAGGAUAAGGUGAGAAUAUAUACUAAUGAAAUGUUUGGUGGCGUUGUCCACAUUUUGAAUUUAAACCACUAGCUUUUUUAUACACGAGGGCUUGUCCUGGGAGAGCCCUAUAUAGCCAUGUGCAAUACUGCUACAAACUUUAAUCCCCCAUUGUCCGGCCUGCGGAGCAUUAGGAAAAGUUCAAAUUUUGUAAUUCAUUCAGUUCUUCUGGUUAGUAGACUAGUGGUUCAUCUUGAUAAAUCUGGCGGUUUAAAGUUUCUCUAUGUUUUGUUACAGCAGUUGUGUAUUUUUAGAAGAAAAACAACAACGGCGGCUGCACUGGAGCAGCAGGACUACUAUUGCUGAUAGGUUUGUGAACUAAUAAACAUUCUUUUUUAUGUUCUUGUGAUGUUUCAUACUUUCAUGAACUUAUAGUUGAUGCUCUUUGUGAACUGAUAGCUGAUUCUUUUUGUUAACUGGUAAACUAAAUAAUGACAUGGAUGUAUUAUCAGGCCGUGAAAAUGAUGUAAAAAAUAUGUGCAGAUUAGUGGAUGAGUGCUAUCUAGAUUCUUCUAAUAUGAAGAUAGUGGCACCACUAAGAAAAAGAGAAAUAAUCGGUUUUUCUGUAGCCACGGAAUGGGCAUUUGGCUCAGUCAUCUUCCAUUGCUGGAGGUACUACCUCUUGAGUUAAUUUAUGAAACUGAAAUCAUCCUUUUUGGUGUUUUCAUGUUGUCAAAUAAAAGCAAUUUUUUUUGACAUGCUCAGUACAAAAAAAUUUGUUUAUGUCGGAUCCAGACCGCCCCCAUCUCCGACCGGAUCCAGGUCCGCUCCCCUGAUAGCCACCAUGGCUUGUGUCGUUGGUGCUAGUGUGGAUGUGCGACAUGUUCAUGUCCCCAGUCUAUGCCAAGUUCAGGUAUGUUCCUGGUUGCUGGUGUAUAUUCCGCUGAUGUGUGACAAAUUCAUAGUGUGCCUUCUUUUUAGUUCAGUGAGUUCAGUUCAUGUCUUAUUUUUCUUCGUCAGAAUGCACGUCGGUCUCGUUGUGGAUGCUUCUGUAGUUCGGCAGUCCAACUAAUUGCUCUACCACCGGUUGCUCAAAGCGCCGUGUGAAGUCCAACCCGUGCUCCGCCCCUGGAUCCGGCUCAGCGCCAGUUCCUUGGCGGUUGCUACCCGUCCGCUGCUCCUUCCGCUGUCUACGCACAACUCCUAGUGCGUAGCAACUGUGUUCUGUAAUUUCAGAAUUUAAUAGGACGUGCUCUUUGACCUACAUUGCUUCGGAAAGGACAAUCCCUAGGUAAAUCUUCUUCAUGAUUUCAGGGCUAUGAAGUGAAUUAUUUGUUGUUACGAUCUAUUUAGCACAUAUAGUUACAAAACAUAGUUCAAAUAAAUUUCCCCCAAAAGUUCAGUAUUUAGGGUUCUGCGCCUGUCCUUACAUUAGCUAGUCUUCAUCAUGUCCAGAUAAUGCCUAAAGUGAAGACAUUAUUUUAUUUCAAUUCAACUUUUGAAUGUCUUUCAGUUCAUCUACUUCUCGGUCGUCCUGAGUUGCAGCAUUGCUGCUACUGUCAAUGUGUUUGCAAGUUGCAACCAUUAUUGAUGCAUUUGUAUUUCAGAUCACUGAGGGUUUCAUGAGGAUGUGCUAAAAAUUUGUUAUUGUCGGUUGCUCUUUGUUGCAUUUGGUACCGUCAAUUAAAAUUUGUUACGUCAAUGGUGAUAAUGUACGUCAGUGCAUGUGUGCUAGUACUAGUGUACUUGCGAAGUGACCCUCCUCCUAGUACAGCCAAUUCAAUUUCUUGCAUUUCCAUCUGGAGUACAAAAAUGAUCAGUACGAAUUAAAACAAUGAUCAGUUUGAAAAUAAAAGAAAUGAUUACUUCGAAUUAAAAAUUGGUUUGAAUUAAAAACAAUGAUCAGUUCAAAUUUAAAAAAGAUGAUCGGUUCGAAUGCGUAGCUACUGAAAGGUACAUUCUUUCAUUAGUAUAAAUGCAAUUUGUUAAUAAAAAUAAACAGUGAUUCAGUAUGUAUUAUAUGAGCAAUUCAUACAAAAAAGAAGAAGCAAAAAGUAGUGAUUCAAUAUGUAUUAUAUGUCCAAAUUUUGUUUUAUUCAGCACAAGGCUUCCAAGCAUUGAUCAGAUGUGUUUCAGUUCGUCUACUUCCCAGUCGUCCUGUGUUAGCUAGAUCAGUACUAGUGAUCAGCAGUACGACAAGUAGCAGUACUGAUCAGUACGACCUACACAGAUACUAUUACUGAUCAGUAAUAUUCUUAAUGUUAAAAGUAACAUCCAUAUAGAAAAAAUGCUUCUAUUCUAACACACAAUGUUUUGCAAAAAAGAGCACUAGUACUGAUGAGUCGUACCUACAAGGAUGCCGUCUACAAUUCUGAAAUUAUUGUUGAGUCAUACUAGUACUAUUACUGUUGAAAAUGGGAAGCAAGUGUCACAUGAAUCCUCAAUUGAAUGGGAAGCAAGUUGAUCCUCGCUCCUUCAACUCCACUUCGCCAGUGCCCGUCAGUCUGCAGGAGUAGGGGCGGCAUGUCCGUCAACAAACAAGAACAGAAGGGAGCAAUUGGCGCCGAAUGGGCCCCUGGGAGCUAGUCCAACCCGCUCGCAGACUGGAGGGCAUGCCGGUUUAUUUCCAAUGAAGCCCUAUGUACAAUCAGUCUGUUCGUUUGAUAAGAAAGGAGACAACAUAGAAGUUAUGGUUGAAGCAAGUCCCUCCGUCCAGUUAUGUCCGAUUUUUGUGAUAGUAGUUCAAAAUGAGGGAUAUAUUGUAUAAACUUUUUUGGACUUGUGCCCAGGCUGCUUCUAAACAACUCCAA